Molecule: transfer RNA, 53 nt
Filed under: Porcellio dilatatus petiti
Lineage: Eukaryota; Metazoa; Arthropoda; Malacostraca; Isopoda; Porcellionidae
Description: tRNA-Lys
Source: RNAcentral
UAAGAGUUUGGCUGAAGUAUAGGCGAAAGGUUUUUAAUCUUUUUAUCGUAAGG